RNAcentral lists this ribosomal RNA (497 nucleotides) under uncultured bacterium. RNAcentral's name for it is "partial 16S ribosomal RNA". It matches the Rfam family "Bacterial small subunit ribosomal RNA", at positions 28 to 507 of the family's 1533-position model. The record is from RNAcentral.
GAUGAACGCUGGCGGCGUGCCUAAUACAUGCAAGUCGAGCGAACAGACGAGGAGCUUGCUCCUCUGACGUUAGCGGCGGACGGGUGAGUAACACGUGUAUAACCUACCUAUAAGACUGGUAUAACUUCGGGAAACCGGAGCUAAUACCGGAUAAUAUAUUGAACCGCAUGGUUCAAUAGUGAAAGACGGUUUUGCUGUCACUUAUAGAUGGAUCCGCGCCGCAUUAGCUAGUUGUUCAGGUAACGGCUUACCAAGGCGACGAUGCGUAGCCGACCUGAGAGGGUGAUAGGCCACACUGGAACUGAGCCACGGUCCAGACUCCUACGGGAGGCAGCAGUAGGGAAUCUUCCGCAAUGGGCGAAAGCCUGACGGAGCAACGCCGCGUGAGUGAUGAAGGUCUUCGGAUCGUAAAACUCUGUUAUUAGGGAAGAACAAAUGUGUAAGUAACUAUGCACGUCUUGACGGUACCUAAUCAGAAAGCCACGGCUAACUACGUG